Myotis davidii is the source of this 76-nucleotide non-coding RNA. The record is from Rfam. Lineage: Eukaryota; Metazoa; Chordata; Mammalia; Chiroptera; Vespertilionidae.
GGCAGUUCUCGGGUGAUGCACCCUGGAAUCGGGCUCCCUCCUCUCUGGUUCCAGGUGCGUCACCUGAGAACCCGCA